GGUUAGGUGGCUGAGGUGAUAAGGCGAUAGAUUGUAAAUCUAUACAGGAGAGUUUCUCCCUAACCA
This 66-nucleotide transfer RNA is filed under the name Atyopsis moluccensis. RNAcentral's name for it is "tRNA-Tyr". It matches the Rfam family "tRNA". From Rfam's summary of the family: Transfer RNA (tRNA) molecules are approximately 80 nucleotides in length. Their secondary structure includes four short double-helical elements and three loops (D, anti-codon, and T loops). Further hydrogen bonds mediate the characteristic L-shaped molecular structure. tRNAs have two regions of fundamental functional importance: the anti-codon, which is responsible for specific mRNA codon recognition, and the 3' end, to which the tRNAs corresponding amino acid is attached (by aminoacyl-tRNA synthetases). tRNAs cope with the degeneracy of the genetic code in two manners: having more than one tRNA (with a specific anti-codon) for a particular amino acid; and 'wobble' base-pairing, i.e. permitting non-standard base-pairing at the 3rd anti-codon position. The record is from RNAcentral. Lineage: Eukaryota; Metazoa; Arthropoda; Malacostraca; Decapoda; Atyidae.